GAAAAUCAUGACUCUGUAAUAGUGUGUCUAUUUCUUGGUCCUCCAAUCUGUUCUAUUUAUCAUAGGUCUACUUUUCUUUAUGUCAGUACCACACUGUUUUGAUUACUCUUCCUAUUCAUUCUUAUGUUAUAAAAUCUUGACAUAUUGAUAUCCAUAAAUACUUGGAUUUUAUAGCAAGCAACAAAACAAAGUUUUCUUGUAUCUCAGUAACACUAACUAAUUAAAAAGGAAACCAAGCCAUUAUAUAGUCCAGACAGAGCAAAUAUCAGGAAUUUCAACAAAGCAAUCAUUAAAAUAUAACAAAUAUUCAUAAAUUUCUAUGUAAGUAGCCAUAACAUAGGUAGACAAAUUUUUGUACAAAUAGGCACAAAGCAUUCAGCAAAAUAAUAAAUUUGAAGUAGUUCUAAUACCAUGUGCAAGCAAGGAGUUAAAGCAAAUAUUACAUUUAAUAUAAUUUACAGUAAGCUAUAGAAAAAAAGUCAAAAGCAUAUCAGAGGAAUAAAACAAUCAGCAGCAAUAGACCUAAGAAUUACAAAUGUUUUAAUUUUCAUCAAAACAUGAAACAUCAUUUUUAAAGCCACCUAAAUUUGCAUCUCUGAAACCUGAAAACUUGUCACUGUUUAACUUUUAAAAAACUACUAGCGCUCUUUGAGUUUGAAACUAUGGUUACCACUUUCAAGCAAUUGUUAAUUCUUAGUACCUUCAAAGGUCAUUACUGUGAAAGUUUUAUGAGCAUAUAUUUGCAAAAGCAAAUAAAACAUUUUCUGCUUGGGCAGGCCUCAUAAGAAUCAGGACAUUUCAUAGCCUAUAGGACAUUUGUCCCUUAGGCCACAUCAUGGCGUGGCCUGCAGAGCUUUUUCAGAUGUAGAGAUAAAUUUCCCUACUUUGUGUGAUCCUGCUCCUUCAGAGUGUUUUUCUCUUGCCCGAAAGUACAUUGUGGGCAGGGUUGGAGACUUUUCAUUCAGCAAUAGAAUUCCUGCCACAAGUAGGACACGAGCAUGGUGGCCUCUGGUCUAUAAUACAGGUGCAUUUAUUAGGGGCCAGGUAAUUUUUUGGUAACUUUUGUAGGGAGGGAGAGUGUGACUAUUUCUUAUAAGCUGGUACUUGCUGUAUUCUCUGUUUACUGGAUUGGUAAGUUCAUUGAGGCCAAGUGCU
Molecule: long non-coding RNA, 1155 nt
Filed under: Homo sapiens (human)
Lineage: Eukaryota; Metazoa; Chordata; Mammalia; Primates; Hominidae
Description: non-protein coding lnc-PPP1R3D-7:1
Source: RNAcentral